GGGUGUAUAGCUCAGUGGUAGAGCAUUCGACUGCAGAUCGAGAGGUGCCCUAUUCAAACCUGGAUGCUCCCU
This is a non-coding RNA of Trichonephila inaurata madagascariensis, 72 nucleotides long. Lineage: Eukaryota; Metazoa; Arthropoda; Arachnida; Araneae; Nephilidae. The record is from the annotation of a GenBank genome assembly.